RNAcentral lists this transfer RNA (65 nucleotides) under Nitrospira sp. RNAcentral's name for it is "tRNA-Ser". Lineage: Bacteria; Pseudomonadati; Nitrospirota; Nitrospiria; Nitrospirales; Nitrospiraceae. The record is from RNAcentral.
GGGUGUAGUACCUAAUUGCCCUUUUAAGGCGAGGGUCCUGGGUUCGAGUCCCAGCCGGCUCACCA